Molecule: unclassified non-coding RNA, 253 nt
Filed under: plant metagenome
Description: partial contains small subunit ribosomal RNA, internal transcribed spacer 1, and 5.8S ribosomal RNA
Rfam family: 5.8S ribosomal RNA (bases 205-253)
Source: RNAcentral
UAUCCGUAGGUGAACCUGCGGAAGGAUCAUUAUUGGAUUUUGAAACUUCAGGCUGCUGCUGGCUCUCCUCGGAGGGCAUGUGCACGCUUGUUGUCCAUUAUUUCUCCCACUGUGCACAAAUUGUAGACCUUUCAGUAGGCCUAUGUUGUUUUUCACAAUCUCUGAAUGUAAUAGAAUGGUUUUGAAUCUUGGGAAAUACAAUACAACUUUCAGCAACGGAUCUCUUGGCUCUCGCAUCGAUGAAGAACGUAGC